AAAAAGAAAAAGCCUGCUGCACGUAAAUAAUUGUUCUGCUGGCAAUCAGGAAAUCUAUAACAAGAAGUGACUGUCAGCUGGAAAUUGGGUUGGUGGAAACACAUCUAUUUUGAGACAAACUUGGAAGAAAUGAAAAGGCUUAUCAAGAGAAAUGAAAGCAUGGUAAUAUCCUUCAAAAAAGCAUGGAUAUUAUGUCUAAGAUUAUCUUUAUCUAGACUUUCUGGUGUGGAUUUUACUUAUAUGGAUACCUUCUAUCUGACAUACACUACUGUCAGAAAAAUUACGUGGAGAUUGAGUGCAAGAAAGCAGAGUAGAAGCACCUUUUUAUAGAUUUUCUGUGAAGAAAAUCCAUCUUUCUAGAUUUAUUGGUUUUUACCUUUUGAUUCAGUAAAACUCAGAAGAGAGAGCUAGACUCCCCUGGCAAGUUGCUGCAGUGCAAGGUCUGUCUUUCUCUGUUUUCUCCAAAAGAGUUGUCACACACGGAUAGAAUUGCAGAAAGCAAAGAAAGUGGUGUCACACUGGACACAGUAUUUUUACAGGGAGAAUCUGAAAAAUAUGCAGCUAAUUUAUUAUAGACAGACCCGAGGAAUUGUAGGAAUUAAGUGUAAUUUUUUUAAAGUAAAAGAUGUAAAAGUAAAUUCCUUGAAUUAUCAAUAAAAAUUUGAAGGUAAUAUGUAAUGUUAUUUUGUUGUCCACACAUCUCUCUUCAAGUUAGGAAAAAAGGGAGACAGGCUCCCCAGUUUUGCAGAUUAGUCCUCCAAAGUGCUGCAGGAUCAGAAUAUGAAGUAGAGGAAGGGAAAAUUUUAGGGGUCUUCAGAUUUUUAAUUUGCUGUGACUAGCCUACAUCUGGGACAAACAGUGCUGGCAACUCUCCUAGCACUGUGAGGAACACAUUUUGGCUCCUAUCUGCAUUUUUCAAUUAGGUAACCCAUCAGAUCCCACAUAACCUCUGUCCAACUCUCAUUAAGUAUCUGUUUCCUUUUAUUGCAGCAGACACUCCUCUAUCCUUUUUCACAUCUCCCAUGGCAACUUGAAUUCCACAUAUGGACAUAAGAAAGUGGGGAAAACAACCAGUUGGAAGUGGGUAUUCCCCUGGCAGUCUAAAAUUAUGCAAAAUCUGUAGCUUCUUUAAUCUCUAUGGCAGAAUUGCCUGAAACAGCACCAGAAAUCUAAUGCUAAAGCUGGGGAGAUUGUCAUCAGUAAAUAUUCCUUGAAUCACACAACUGGUAGAUUCCUUUCAGAAUUAAUUCUGUUUUACAGUGCAGCUCCUAAUACAUUUUUUUCUCUUUUGUAUAUUGCAUUGCAAAAUCAGAUUUACUAAAAAGGUGUAAAUGAAUUUUAACACUCUUGAAGAUGACCAAGACAUUGUUUUCAUUGAAAUAAUUGUGUUUGGUUUAUUUGUCCGAAGUGAAAUUUAUGGUGGAGAAUUAGGUGCUACUACAGGUUAUACAUAUUCUGUUUUACUUUCUAAAUUCAGGAUAUUUUUAUAGACUAAUUCCUGCUCUUUCUGAAGUUAGAUGAAGAAUUUCAUAAUAAAAAUUGUAGCAAGAAAAUAACAGGAAAUAUAAUAUUCUUUAGAAAAUUGGGACUACUCUGGCAUUUAUGGAUGUGUGUGUUUGUGCCAUACAUG
Neopelma chrysocephalum (saffron-crested tyrant-manakin) is the source of this 1630-nucleotide long non-coding RNA. RefSeq lists it as uncharacterized. The transcript is spliced from 2 exons. NCBI's taxonomy places the organism in Eukaryota, Metazoa, Chordata, Aves, Passeriformes, Pipridae. The record is from RefSeq and is a predicted model, not a curated record.